AUCCAUCUGACGAGUCCCGAAUAGGGCGAAGUGUGUGUCAUGGAU
Non-coding RNA from Schistosoma margrebowiei, 45 nucleotides. NCBI's taxonomy places the organism in Eukaryota, Metazoa, Platyhelminthes, Trematoda, Strigeidida, Schistosomatidae. The record is from Rfam.